GGCCUUCGGGUUGUAAACCUCUUUCAGCAGGGAAGAAGCGAAAGUGACGGUACCUGCAGAAGAAGCGCCGGCUAACUACGUGCCAGCAGCCGCGGUAAUACGUAGGGCGCAAGCGUUGUCCGGAAUUAUUGGGCGUAAAGAGCUCGUAGGCGGUUUGUCGCGUCUGCUGUGAAAGCCCGGGGCUCAACUCCGGAUCUGCAGUGGGUACGGGCAGACUAGAGUGCAGUAGGGGAGACUGGAAUUCCUGGUGUAGCGGUGAAAUGCGCAGAUAUCAGGAGGAACACCGAUGGCGAAGGCAGGUCUCUGGGCUGUAACUGACGCUGAGGAGCGAAAGCAUGGGGAGCGAACAGGAUUAGAUACCCUGGUAGUCCAUGCCGUAAACGUUGGGCACUAGGUGUGGGGGACAUUCCACGUUUUCCGCGCCGUAGCUAACGCAUUAAGUGCCCCGCCUGGGGAGUACGGCCGCAAGGCUAAAACUCAAAGGAAUUGACGGGGGCCCGCACAAGCGGCGGAGCAUGCGGAUUAAUUCGAUGCAACGCGAAGAACCUUACCAAGGCUUGACAUGGACCGGACCGCCGCAGAAAUGUGGUUUCCCCUUUGGGGCUGGUUUACAGGUGGUGCAUGGUUGUCGUCAGCUCGUGUCGUGAGAUGUUGGGUUAAGUCCCGCAACGAGCGCAACCCUCGUUCUAUGUUGCCAGCACGUG
This 704-nucleotide ribosomal RNA is filed under the name uncultured Arthrobacter sp. RNAcentral's name for it is "bacterial SSU rRNA". It matches the Rfam family "Bacterial small subunit ribosomal RNA", at positions 413 to 1127 of the family's 1533-position model. Lineage: Bacteria; Bacillati; Actinomycetota; Actinomycetes; Micrococcales; Micrococcaceae. The record is from RNAcentral.